AUUCAGUUACCUACUGUCAACCAAGGUCAGAAAAUAGCUGGAGAAAUCUGGAGAAGUCUGGCUGGGAAGGGAAGAAGAAGCAGGAAAACAGGGCUAAGCCAAGACGUGCAGCUGGAGCAGAAGGAGUCAGAACGGGCUGGCAGAGAGCGCUGAGCUCCCAGCAGGGGAAGAAACCAAAGAACAUGGAGGCUCCUGCGACGAGAGGCCUGUAGGUUUUGGGCGCCCACCCUGCUACCGUAGAAUGGUUCUUGGCAAUAGAUUUCUCAAUUUCCUUCUCCAGUUUAAUUUUUUAAUAACUGAGUACAGUUAAAAAUAGAGUAAGAUCACAGUCUCCCAAGCACAGUUCCUUUUUUAUUUGUGGUCCCCAAGAGGAGUCAAAAGUAAGAGCAGGGACUGGGGGGUACCCUGUGUGUCCUGGCAUCAUUUCACGGAAGGUAAGGCCAUGUCACCACAUCCCCAGUACAGGGCUGGCCCGGCAUGGUAUCCGCAGGAAACAGUGAUCGAGCCCUCCUUCCUCCUACGUCCCCACCGCAUCCUGGGCAACAUUUUCUCUCUUAACUAUAACCGCUGAGUAUUUGUAUUUUUCAGGGAACCUCAGGAGACAUAAAGCCUUUAAGGUUUAAAGGACUGAAUCUCUUCCGGUGCAAUUUCUGGAAUUAUAAGUAUAUUUUUUUCCUUUCUUCAUUCAUUCAUUCAAUACGUAUGUUUUGAAUUCCAGGCAUAGCGCUAGCCAUGGAGACCAUAGUGGUGGGCAACGCAGACACGACCCUGUCGUCACAAAACUUAAAGUUUAAAGAAGACAGACUAAUAAAAUAAUCACAGAAACGAAUAUCUGCUGCGAAGCAGUAGGAAGUGCCCUGCGGUCUGUUUCCCCUAGCAGAGACUGGCCUUGUGGCGGAAGACCCCCGCGCGUAGGGAGGGCCGGUGCGGCGACUCCGGGCGGGGCGCGCUGUUGGUGUCCAGGGCGCGGAGCCUGCGCCAGCUUCACAAAAGCGGUGUGGACGCCUGAGCCAGUCCGCUCUUGCUGGACGGCUCCCCAUAGUUUAGCCCAAAAAUCCCCCUCUGGGUGGCUCUGGCAGGAGUGAUUUAGGGCCACAAUUAGGUUGGACGAGGAGUGGGGACUUGCCCCGAGCUGCCUUUGCAGACCCGGCGGCGGCGUUCUCCCCAAGGCUGCCCGCUUGGCUGCGCGGCUGAGGCGAGUUGAGGACCCAGCCCGUCCCCAACUCUCCUCACCCCUCCGCCCCCCGCUCGCCUCACCCCUCCGGCCCCCGCCCCCCCCCCUCCGUCCCCCACUCUCCUCACCCCUCCGCCCCGCCCGCUCCUCUCACCCCUCCGGCCCCCACCCUCCUCACCCCUCCGCCCCGCCCGCUCCUCUCACCCUUCCUCCCCCCGCCCCCGCUCUCCUCACCCCUCCGGCUCCCGCCUGCUCCACCCCUCUGCGCCCCCCCACGACCCCUCCGGCCCCUGCUCCCCACACCCCUCCUCCACCCUCACCCCUCCGCCUCGCCCCGGGGUGGGGACCUGCCCGGGCGGCUUCCCCAUAGGCCAGUGCUGGGCCCGCGGUGCUUCUAGCGGCCCAGGGAAACGUUUUAAUUUUCAUUUAUUUUAAAAUCAAAAUAAAUAAUUGAAUGUGAUAACAUUGAAUCUAUAAUAAUAAAAACUCCAGUCUGGGUCAUGUUCGCCUUUAGACACUAAGUCAUGAAACCACUUACAUCUUCAGGAGGAAGGGCAC
This 1732-nucleotide long non-coding RNA is filed under the name Homo sapiens (human). RNAcentral's name for it is "HSALNT0198214". The record is from RNAcentral. Lineage: Eukaryota; Metazoa; Chordata; Mammalia; Primates; Hominidae.